GACGAACGCUGGCGGCGUGCUUAACACAUGCAAGUCGAACGGAAAGGCCCUGCUUUUGUGGGGUGCUCGAGUGGCGAACGGGUGAGUAACACGUGAGUAACCUGCCCUUGACUUUGGGAUAACUUCAGGAAACUGGGGCUAAUACCGGAUAGGAGCUCCUGCUGCAUGGUGGGGGUUGGAAAGUUUCGGCGGUUGGGGAUGGACUCGCGGCUUAUCAGCUUGUUGGUGGGGUAGUGGCUUACCAGGGCUUUGACGGGUAGCCGGCCUGAGAGGGUGACCGGCCACAUUGGGACUGAGAUACGGCCCAGACUCCUACGGGAGGCAACAGUGGGGAAUAUUGCACAAUGGGCGGAAGCCUGAUGCAGCAACGCCGCGUGCGGGAUGACGGCCUUCGGGUUGUAAACCGCUUUCGCCUGUGACGAAGCGUGAGUGACGGUAAUGGGUAAAGAAGCACCGGCUAACUACGUG
Molecule: ribosomal RNA, 468 nt
Filed under: uncultured bacterium
Lineage: Bacteria
Description: partial 16S ribosomal RNA
Rfam family: Bacterial small subunit ribosomal RNA
Source: RNAcentral